This 66-nucleotide transfer RNA is filed under the name human gut metagenome. It matches the Rfam family "tRNA", at positions 7 to 64 of the family's 71-position model. From Rfam's summary of the family: Transfer RNA (tRNA) molecules are approximately 80 nucleotides in length. Their secondary structure includes four short double-helical elements and three loops (D, anti-codon, and T loops). The record is from RNAcentral. RNAcentral also lists the same sequence under 1 other name.
GGCGUAGCUCAGCUGGUUAGAGUGCCGGAUUGUGGAUCCGAAGGUCGUGGGUUCGAACCCCACCUC